This 464-nucleotide ribosomal RNA is filed under the name uncultured bacterium. RNAcentral's name for it is "partial 16S ribosomal RNA". It matches the Rfam family "Bacterial small subunit ribosomal RNA", at positions 339 to 795 of the family's 1533-position model. The record is from RNAcentral.
CUACGGGGUGCACCAGUGGGGAAUGUUGCACAAUGGGCGCAAGCCUGAUGCAGCCAUGCCGCGUGUAUGAAGAAGGCCUUCGGGUUGUAAAGUACUUUCAGCGGGGAGGAAGGGAGUAAAGUUAAUACCUUUGCUCAUUGACGUUACCCGCAGAAGAAGCACCGGCUAACUCCGUGCCAGCAGCCGCGGUAAUACGGAGGGUGCAAGCGUUAAUCGGAAUUACUGGGCGUAAAGCGCACGCGGGCGGUUUGUUAAGUCAGAUGUGAAAUCCCCGGGCUCAACCUGGGAACUGCAUCUGAUACUGGCAAGCUUGAGUCUCGUAGAGGGGGGUAGAAUUCCAGGUGUAGCGGUGAAAUGCGUAGAGAUCUGGAGGAAUACCGGUGGCGAAGGCGGCCCCCUGGACGAAGACUGACGCUCAGGUGCGAAAGCGUGGGGAGCAAACAGGAUUAGAUACCCGAGUAGUC